UCUUAUGUAUUUCAGUUGCACUCGAAAAAACGAAAUCACAUAACGCAACAGAAAUUGAAUGAUAGUGAUUUUAUCUAGUAUAAUAAGAAAUUGCAGCGUCGUUACCUAGAAAUCCAACAAUAUAACGAUAAUGAUAAAGCUAAUGAUCCUAUUUUUGGAGGAGCGUGAUGAAAAUGACGAAUGGUUGGAGUUACGAAAUAAAACUAAUCUCCCCACAAUGGUUUUUAUGAGAGGUAUUUUUGUAAAUAAUAGAGCUCAAUAAUGGAAUUCAGAAACGUCUGCGGGAGAAAGAAAUUUCAUGAGAAAUUUUUCAGUAGAACCUAUGUUACCUUUUUCUGUUUUUUAUUUCCUCGCUCGGUUCCUCUCUCCCAUUUCCGAUCUCAUUUUUCUUUUCUUUUCUAUCUGAUUCUUAUUCUUCUUCUCCACUUCUAACCUAAAAAAUCCCAAACAUGAGUGAAAUCAACAAACCCUUCUCUUGAUUUCUUUUCUGAAAUCCCUCAUCUCAUUAUUCAAGUGAUCUUGGGGUGAUGUUGGAGUUCUUCUUUAACAUAUUCUCGUUCUCAAACUUCAUAAGACUCUCAGGUUCAGUUGGAUCUACAGGCGAGGGGAUUGAAGAAGCAUUGGAAGACGCUUAACCCAAACAUUAGAUGCUAGAUGAACUUGGAGGUGACAGAAAGCUCAUCACUUCAGAGUUAGCGCUUGUGCUGGACCAUUGGUGUGUUUGAUUCCGGUGGGCAGACUACUGGGUUACUUUCAACCGGGUCAUAGUGAACAGGUGUAUGUACUGUUUCAGGAACUUAAACAUGCUUCGUUUUGUAAAAAUACUAAAGAAAUUUGACAAAGUAAGUAUAAUGGGUACUCUGUAUCCUUGAGAUUUCAAUUAGUCAUUGAAUGCUUUUAUAGUUUAUACCCCAGUACUUAGUAUGAUAAAUUACUGAGAUUUUUUAUUUGAUUUUCAGGUUGUAAAGAACAAGCUUUAUCAUAAAUUCCUUUGAAUGAAUAUAAUUAGAUUACUGACUGUAAUUUGCUUCUUAGACUUUUAUUUUUGUUAUCGGGAGUAUGGAAUAUUCUUCACAGACCCUUGAGUUAUAGUUCUAAAUAGACCCUUGUUUCAAAUGGUUCUGGAGAGAGAAUGUGGAUAUGACAAGCACAUCAUAUAUAUCCAACUGAACCUUGGUUCAAUAUAUGGUUCAUCCAUAAACUUGUUCUGUUGAUGCAGCGGUUCAAUAGUUUGUGCUUUGACAUUGUUCGGUACAAACAUCUGCUAAAAUCUGGAUAGUCAUCUUUAACAUGUGGAUGUGUCAAUCGACCAGUUGGGUUUAGGUACACUUGGCUAGAUUGAACUACUCAAUCUAAUGUUUAUAUGGUUGAUCGUCAUCCAAGCAGCAACUCCUGUUUAGUUGAUAAACAAAUUACAAAAGACUCAGAGGAGUCAUGGUAACAGUGGUGCUGUUUGUGUUAAAUUCACAUCCAACUUGCCAGAUAAAUCCAUGGUGAACAUUAGCACACAUAUUCCUGAAUGACUAAACUACUGAUGUGCUGUGAAAUGACAGUUGGGGUUCUAUUCUUCAUGUGCUUAUCUGAGUUCCUUAGAACAAGAUCAUAAUCGUAAACCCUGAUACGGAACUUCUAAGACAUAUAUAAUUAAUGACAGGUUUCAGAUGGCAGUUGGCAAGUACAAUCUUUUUGAAGAACUAGGAAGCCAUAGACAAGGAUCCUUAUUUCUAUAAUAUUUUUACUCACUUGUUGGAAUCAUUCUUAAGAUUGGAGUAAUGGAAGAUUUUGAAGCUUUUUGAUUUGUCAAGUUUGCUAGUAAAUGAAGUGUUGUCUGUAGUAAGCUGCUAGCUCGCAUGGAAGAUUUUGAAGCUUUUUGAUUUAUUAAGUUUGUAAAAGGAAUGUAGGUUGAGCAUUUUUUACUUAUCGUUGAAAUUUUCAUAUUUAGAACUUAAAAGGUAUGAUAAUAGAAGUUGUAAACAAACUCAUUUUAAUACAGAUCAAGUUUUAAGUUAUCAA
This is a long non-coding RNA of Papaver somniferum (opium poppy), 2013 nucleotides long. RefSeq lists it as uncharacterized. The record is from RefSeq and is a predicted model, not a curated record. NCBI's taxonomy places the organism in Eukaryota, Viridiplantae, Streptophyta, Magnoliopsida, Ranunculales, Papaveraceae. The transcript is spliced from 10 exons.